Molecule: transfer RNA, 72 nt
Filed under: Candidatus Woesebacteria bacterium
Lineage: Bacteria; Candidatus Woeseibacteriota
Description: tRNA-Cys
Rfam family: tRNA
About the family: Transfer RNA (tRNA) molecules are approximately 80 nucleotides in length. Their secondary structure includes four short double-helical elements and three loops (D, anti-codon, and T loops).
Source: RNAcentral
GGCCAGAUGGCGAAGUGGAAACGCCGUGGUCUGCAAAACCACUAUGCGCGGGUUCGAUUCCCGCUCUGGCCU